CCAUUUCCAAACUAGUCUCACUGACUAGUUAGCGUGUUCUUGAUUAGGUUGAAAAGUCUUACAAUGUCAUAGUAGCAAAAGACACUUGGGUGCGCAUCCGAAACCGCCUUUCCACCAUCUCUCCCCACCAAAUAGCAGCUCAGUUUUCUCUUUUCCCCUUUUUCUCAUCGCUGAACCAUUUUUCUCCACUUCUAUUGCCGGAAAAACAUUAGAGCUUGAGAGGAGGAGGACACAACCUGCUGCCACGGUUGUUACAGUCUCUUGCUUUCUUUUUCUAGCUAAAUUGACACCGGAUUUGGACUCCUCGCCCCUCAAAACCUCAAGUCCAACCCUCCUUCGCCAGUUAUCCUUGUCGCUAGCCGUAGUUUUCUUUCACGGAGCAGAACCUUCCUUGUCGUGAUUUGGUAUUUUUCGAAAAGUUUUGAGCGGUGAUUUUAGCAUUUCCAAACUCAGCACAUCUAAAGCUUUACAU
This 472-nucleotide long non-coding RNA is filed under the name Ricinus communis (castor bean). RNAcentral's name for it is "long non-coding RNA (RCOM_LNC001305)". Lineage: Eukaryota; Viridiplantae; Streptophyta; Magnoliopsida; Malpighiales; Euphorbiaceae. The record is from RNAcentral.